CUCUCUUUUUUCUUUUUAUUUGGAUGAGGGUUUUUCCUUUAGGCGAGGGUUUUUCCUCUGCUCUUAGCAGGGUUGUGGAGAUGUAGAGGAGCCACUAAGGAGGCUUUUCUCCUCAUCCGAUCCUGAUCGAUCGGGUCUUUGUUUGUGUUAGGACGAGGUUCUCCUCCUAUUUCCGACAUAGCCAAUUUUAGCUCAUGCUAGAACGAGGUCUUCCUCCUAUUCC
This 223-nucleotide long non-coding RNA is filed under the name Elaeis guineensis (African oil palm). Its description in RNAcentral is "long non-coding RNA (EGUI_LNC037104)". Lineage: Eukaryota; Viridiplantae; Streptophyta; Magnoliopsida; Arecales; Arecaceae. The record is from RNAcentral.